This 465-nucleotide ribosomal RNA is filed under the name uncultured bacterium. RNAcentral describes it as "partial 16S ribosomal RNA". It matches the Rfam family "Bacterial small subunit ribosomal RNA", at positions 28 to 507 of the family's 1533-position model. The record is from RNAcentral.
GACGAACGCUGGCGGCGUGCUUAACACAUGCAAGUCGUACGGUAAGGCCCUUUCGGGGGUACACGAGUGGCGAACGGGUGCGUAACACGUGAGUAACCUGCCCACAACUUUGGGAUAACGCUAGGAAACUGGUGCUAAUACUGGAUAUGUGCUCCUGCUGCAUGGUGGGGGUUGGAAAGCUCCGGCGGUUGUGGAUGGACUCGCGGCCUAUCAGCUUGUUGGUGGGGUAGUGGCCUACCAAGGCGGCGACGGGUAGCCGGCCUGAGAGGGUGACCGGCCACAUUGGGACUGAGAUACGGCCCAGACUCCUACGGGAGGCAGCAGUGGGGAAUAUUGCACAAUGGGCGCAAGCCUGAUGCAGCAACGCCGCGGGCGGGAUGACGGCCUUCGGGUUGUAAACCGCUUUCAGCAGGGACGAAGCUUUUUGUGACGGUACCUGCAGAAGAAGCACCGGCUAACUACGUG